RNAcentral lists this long non-coding RNA (861 nucleotides) under Struthio camelus australis. RNAcentral's name for it is "lncRNA (ENSSCUG00000010095.1)". Lineage: Eukaryota; Metazoa; Chordata; Aves; Struthioniformes; Struthionidae. The record is from RNAcentral.
AUUCUUAAAUUUUUCCUGAUUUGCUGAUUCAAGCAUUGCCAGAGGUCUUUUUUUUUAAAUCCAAGCAGUGUUCAAUAUUAGUAGUGGUACAAUGAGUUACUGUCCUUUUUGUUAUCAAGUUGGGAUCAAAUGUUGUAAUGAAAAUCAGUAGAGUAUUUCCUCUCUGUCCCUCUGAAAGUAAGAACAAAUAUAUACAUCAGAUAUAGAUAGAUAAAAAGAGAUUAUAUUUUCACAAGUGAUUAGCAUGACUCAGGUGAUCUACUACUAAAAUAAGUUUAUGCAGAUUCCUUGUUUUCUUUUAAAAACAUUUCAUUUUCUCUUUUACUUGUCUACAGCUACUUCAAUUUUGGCACAUCUUUUAUGCUGUAGUACCAAAUCACAACCCUGUUUCAGAAUGAUCCAGGCCAUUAGCAUCACCUUCGUAAUUGGAAGAUGCAGCUUUAUUCAUUCACUACAGUAUCACUUAGUAGAUUCAGAUAAUCUUUGUGGACAAUGUGGGAUAAGAGUCCAAAACUAUGGAUGGACAUGGCGAGAGGGACAUGGAAAUCUCCAGUUCAGAGAAGGCUCCCAAGUACCUAAUUGAGAGCAAGUUGGCAGCUUCUAUCCCCAAGACACAGAUUUCACUCAUCAUUGUUACAGAAUGAAAAAUUUAAGAAACCCCCAAGAGAAGAAUUUUCUUAUUUUAUUCAAACGAAGCUUCCAUCUGAAGGCACAUAUGCCACCAUAUGGGAUCCAUUUCAAGCAUUCAUUAGGAGAAGAAUAAUUAGUCUAGCAUCAUACCAGGAAGAAAAGAAGAGGCCCAGAGGAUAAUUACUUUAGAAACAGAAAUAAAAGACCUUGAAACUAAAUUUGCUAGGGACA